RNAcentral lists this ribosomal RNA (406 nucleotides) under uncultured bacterium. Its description in RNAcentral is "partial 16S ribosomal RNA". It matches the Rfam family "Bacterial small subunit ribosomal RNA", at positions 30 to 526 of the family's 1533-position model. The record is from RNAcentral.
AUUGAACGCUGGCGGCAGGCCUAACACAUGCAAGUCGAACGAGUGGCAGACGGGUGAGUGAUGUCUGGGAACCUGCCUGAUGGAGGGGGAUAACUACUGGAAAAGGUAGCUAAUACCGCAUCCCAUCGGAUGUGCACAGAUGGGAUUAGCUAGUAGGUGGGGUAAAGGGGAACAUAGGCGCCGAUCCCUAGCUGGUCUGAGAGGAUGACCAGUCACACUGGAACUGAGACACUGUCCAGACGCCUAAGGGAGGAAGCAGUGGGGAAUAUUGCCAAAUGGGCGCAAGCUUGAUGAAGCCAUGCCGCGUGUAUGAAGAAGGCCUUCGGGUUGGAAAGUACUUUCAGCGGGGAGGCGUUACCCGCAGAAGAAGCACCGGCUAACUCCGUGCCAGCAGCGGCGGUAAUAC